ACUCCUGCGGGAGGCAGCAGUGGGGAAUAUUGGACAAUGGGCGCAAGCCUGAUCCAGCCAUGCCGCGUGAGUGAUGAAGGCCCUAGGGUUGUAAAGCUCUUUCACCGGUGAAGAUAAUGACGGUAACCGGAGAAGAAGCCCCGGCUAACUUCGUGCCAGCAGCCGCGGUAAUACGAAGGGGGCUAGCGUUGUUCGGAUUUACUGGGCGUAAAGCGCACGUAGGCGGACUAUUAAGUCAGGGGUGAAAUCCCGGGGCUCAACCCCGGAACUGCCUUUGAUACUGGUAGUCUUGAGUUCGAGAGAGGUGAGUUGAAUUCCGAGUGUAGAGGUGAAAUUCGUAGAUAUUCGGAGGAACACCAGUGGCGAAGGCGGCUCACUGGCUCGAUACUGACGCUGAGGUGCGAAAGCGUGGGGAGCAAACAGGAUUAGAAACCCUUGUAGUCCC
Molecule: ribosomal RNA, 445 nt
Filed under: uncultured organism
Description: partial 16S ribosomal RNA
Rfam family: Bacterial small subunit ribosomal RNA
Source: RNAcentral